ACUUCACUGGCCUCCUCCAGACGUGGUGGUUGCGCCCUUUCGGCCUCGCUUUCCGUUUUUUGGCUUCAUCCCCUAGAUCUGCAAACAGUUCCUCGUGUUUCUUCCGUUAGCCGGGAAACGCGAACUGCAGCGUUUGGGACCCGGGUUUGCGCGUGUGGAAAGCAAAAGGGGUUACUCUGCUGGAGUUCGACAUUGCAAAUAAAGGUCUUUAUCCCCGGCGGUUCUACAAAAUUAGUUCUGCAGGGAUUCUGGUUGAAAGAAGCGUUAAAGUGGGCCUUGUAGGAGUCAGCAAUAAUCCAAUUUUACAUGGGUGCAGGUGGCUGCCUGUGUCUAGCGCUUUCACACAUCUCAUAUCUUCAUCCACGCCGUGGGUAUUUUUUUUCCACGGUGUGUUUCUGUUGCUGCCUCCAGUAUAUUGCUUAAUCAUCCUACCUGGGUUGAGUUUGUGCAUCGAUUGUGAACACAACAGGCAGCAGGCUAUAAUGGUGGUCCUGGCUGGAGUAGUUUUCACAGACUUCAGUAAUCUGUGGAGAUGAACGGGCAGUUCUCUGUAGUUUUCACAGAUCACUGCCAGUUCGUUUUGAGGCCUUCAGGAGUGAAGACCUGGCUCAUCAUCACUCUUUGUUGUUUUGUUAAAUUUAUUUACACCCUACUUUAUUCCAGAGGAAAGGAUUUAACGUAGUUUACAUAAAUGUGUACAUCAGGGUAAAUUAAAAAUAAGUACAGAGAAAAAUAGGACAAAAGAAAACCGUGAGUGUGAAAGAUAAGAUUAAGCCAGCAGUUUUGUAUGCAAAAUGCAUGGUGUAAGGUCCUAUUGGUUUGCUGGAGGUAGGCCACACAUAUGACUCUCAGUUUUCUAGCAACCAAGAAAAAGAUCAGUUGCAAUCGGAGUAGGUGUUUUGGCUAAGCUGGAACUAGGACUUGAAUAUAGCAGCUUGUAGAGUUAUACCACUUGCCCAAAUCUCUUCCAUGAGCCUCUUUAAGUGUAACAGAAUGCCUGGGAGCACGUAAAUGCUCCUACUUAGAUGCCUACUUAGCCUCUAAUUUUCAUGGGGCCCAUGAAUCCCAUGAAAAAGAACUUUGAACCCUGUCCACAAUUAGAGUUCAGGUAUACGCAGACAUGUUUAAAGACAAGGGACACCCAAAGGAAAGAUUGCACAGAGAGAAAGUGAGCAUCCGAGAGAAAAUCACCACAAGUGAGGCAGAGGGAGGCCGGUCUCAGCAGAGUUUUGGAGGUCGUGAGAAGAAGAGGUAGGAGAUAGGAGAGUGGUUCCGAGUACUUGCCUGCUGAUGUUACCUUCUCCACCCCCACCAGGUUUUCCAGUGCCUGGAGUCUUGGGCAGGAAUGGGCCACUGUAAGAAAGAGCUUUAUCACUAGGGCCUCAGCCAACUUUUCUGUGGGAUAUCCCUCCAAAAUAAUUAAGAGUUCAGAAUGCUUCAGAUUUUGAAGUGAAACUGGUACAUAUAUUAAGUGUUACUUAAUAACCCGAUAGUUUCUAGGGCAGCUCACCAUAAUCCCAAGUAUUAGCCACCACCCUCACCCCCUUCAGAGUAAAAUGUGUUUCCUGAAGGAAGUUGGGAAAAUGAAGAAAAAAAAUACAAAAAUCACCUAUAAUCUUACCAGUCAUAGAUGGCAGUUUUCCUGUCUUAUUUCUGAAUAAUGGUUGUUAAACAUUUGCCAGCACACCAUAAGGCUUAGGGAGGCAUCUGGGUCAUGCAUGUUAAUAUCCUUGGGUAAUUCCAGAAAUCUCUAUGAAGGGAAACUCCUGUUAUUUAUCUAGACUUCCUGAUUGCAAGGGGUUUGGGCAUCAUGAUUUAGGGGUCUUAAUAAAAUUAUUAUUUUAUUUUUACUAAUAGAUAAUGUCUGUGCCUAUCAGAUAAAGGCAAACCAGUGCUCAGAGGAACCCAACCAUCUCUGAAUUGAGACCAGAGAGCUGUCUCUAUGGAUAGUCCUUAGAGAAGGCAUUUCGGAACACAGUAAACAGCAGCCUGGUGACUCCGAUUACAGGGCCAGUUGCCUUUGUUACAAUAAAAGCAAGUCAUCUACACAGAUUUUUCCUACCAGGAAGAGCAUGUGCUGACCAACAGACAUGAAUUUCAGCCUGGUAGUUACAACAUUCACAGGAGUUUCACUCGUUGCCCAGGCUGGAGUGCAACGGCGCGAUCUCAGCUCACUGCAACCUCCGCCUCCCCAGUUCAAGCGAUUCUCCUGCCUCAGCCUCCUGAGUCACUGGAAUUACGGGCGCCUGACACCACGCCCAGCUAAUUUUUUGUAUUUUUAGUAGACAUGGGGUUUCACUAUGUUGGCCAGGCUGGUCUCGAACUCCUGACCUCAUGAUCCUCCUGCCUCAGCCUCCCAAAGCACUGGGAUUACAGGUGUGAGCCACUGUGCCUGGUCCAUUAAAAACAUUUGUAAAGCUAUGGUGUUGAUAAAGUAUUAUGAAAGACUGCAAAAAAAGAUGGCUAAUUUUUAGUUAUUAUUGCACAUGUUUAGAGGAGCUAAUGACAUUUUCUAUGAUUAAUAAAAGACAUUAUUUAUGUUUUUAUUUAUGUAUUCCACAACAUUUAUUUUAUUUUCUCCAUUUCAGGAAAACCACUAUGUUGUUACAAUAAAGAUUUUCAUGUAAUUUGUGUUCAAUUGAUAGUAAUAAUGUAACAAGUUAAAAAUGAAGGUAAUUGUGUUUAAAAUUUGAGCAUAUUUUCAUCAAAAUGUAAGUUAAAGUGAUUGUAAAUUUUAAGAUCAUAAUUACUUUGUAUAUCUUCAAGAAAAUUAUUGUUUUAAAAUAUUUAUGCCUAUUAAAAUUAGAAGGCAAAAUAAAAAUAUAUGAAUACCAACAUUUUAAAUAAAAAUCAUUUAAAUAA
RNAcentral lists this long non-coding RNA (2862 nucleotides) under Homo sapiens (human). RNAcentral's name for it is "non-protein coding lnc-TRMT61B-1:13". Lineage: Eukaryota; Metazoa; Chordata; Mammalia; Primates; Hominidae. The record is from RNAcentral.